AAGUCGUAACAAGGUUUCCGUAGGUGAACCUGCGGAAGGAUCAUUAAAGAGAUAGGGUCCUCGUGGCCCGAACCUCCCACCCUUUGUUAACUUACCUUUGUUGCUUUGGCGGGCCGUGGGGCCUUCGGACCCCCCGUCGACUCUGGUGGAUGAGCGCCUGUCAAAUGCCCUUUAAAACUCAGUAAAUUCGUGAAGUCCGAGUAUUCAUAUAAUUAUUAAAACUUUCAACAACGGAUCUCUUGGUUCUG
This 248-nucleotide unclassified non-coding RNA is filed under the name Xylographa sp. RNAcentral describes it as "partial contains small subunit ribosomal RNA, internal transcribed spacer 1, and 5.8S ribosomal RNA". The stretch from base 1 to 46 matches the Rfam family "Eukaryotic small subunit ribosomal RNA", at positions 1786 to 1831 of the family's 1831-position model. Lineage: Eukaryota; Fungi; Ascomycota; Lecanoromycetes; Baeomycetales; Xylographaceae. The record is from RNAcentral.